UUUUAUGGAGAGUUUGAUCCUGGCUCAGGAUGAACGCUGGCGGCGUGCCUAAUACAUGCAAGUCGAGCGAACGGACGAGAAGCUUGCUUCUCUGAUGUUAGCGGCGGACGGGUGAGUAACACGUGGAUAACCUACCUAUAAGACUGGGAUAACUUCGGGAAACCGGAGCUAAUACCGGAUAAUAUUUUGAACCGCAUGGUUCAAAAGUGAAAGACGGUCUUGCUGUCACUUAUAGAUGGAUCCGCGCUGCAUUAGCUAGUUGGUAAGGUAACGGCUUACCAAGGCAACGAUGCAUAGCCGACCUGAGAGGGUGAUCGGCCACACUGGAACUGAGACACGGUCCAGACUCCUACGGGAGGCAGCAGUAGGGAAUCUUCCGCAAUGGGCGAAAGCCUGACGGAGCAACGCCGCGUGAGUGAUGAAGGUCUUCGGAUCGUAAAACUCUGUUAUUAGGGAAGAACAUAUGUGUAAGUAACUGUGCACAUCUUGACGGUACCUAAUCAGAAAGCCACGGCUAACUACGUGCCAGCAGCCGCGGUAAUACGUAGGUGGCAAGCGUUAUCCGGAAUUAUUGGGCGUAAAGCGCGCGUAGGCGGUUUUUUAAGUCUGAUGUGAAAGCCCACGGCUCAACCGUGGAGGGUCAUUGGAAACUGGAAAACUUGAGUGCAGAAGAGGAAAGUGGAAUUCCAUGUGUAGCGGUGAAAUGCGCAGAGAUAUGGAGGAACACCAGUGGCGAAGGC
RNAcentral lists this ribosomal RNA (740 nucleotides) under Staphylococcus aureus S94. RNAcentral describes it as "bacterial SSU rRNA". It matches the Rfam family "Bacterial small subunit ribosomal RNA", at positions 1 to 722 of the family's 1533-position model. Lineage: Bacteria; Bacillati; Bacillota; Bacilli; Caryophanales; Staphylococcaceae. The record is from RNAcentral.